AGCGUUUUUGUUUGUAAAAACAUGUGUAGUGUUAUAACAUACUUGAAAUAAUCCGCUUGUGCACAGUGCUUCACAUUUAGGAUUUAAGUAAAACUACAUACGUAGUUUUUAUGGAUAUCUGAACGCUAAACAACAUCCAUUGUUGGUCAUUUCGAGUCUAUUUUUCCCAGUCAUAUGAUUUUGCGGCAAUGAAUGAGCGCGGCAGCGCUUCAUCGUUUCUUCUCGGUCAGUCCUGUCACCUUCAUUCACAGACAGCAACUGAAACACGCCCCCUGCUGGCCGAGCUCGAGCCACAGGAACACGGAAGCAAAUGCCGAGCGCUUGCAAACUCAUCGCUUCAAUCACCGAGGAGAGUACAAGGACAUGAACCGAGAGCUUGGGACUAUGACUUCUGUGGAUAGUUCAUAAACCGUCAUCGUAUUAUCUCUGUACGUCCACUCAGCGUUACUGUAAAUCGUUUGACGCCUUUUCAUCCAUACAGAAGGGAACAGAAUGGCAUCGAUUUUGCUCACCAGGUCUCGGACUCCGUUGAUGAAAACAUCUAGGUCAUUAAAGAACGAAUUCAGGAAAGGAAAGUUGUCAGAAGGCGUAUGCUUUAACUGCAAUGCACUGCGGUUAGCCACAAACAGCAGUCAUGGUCUUCUUGGAAGCAGCAUGUGGCCGCAUGCAUCAUCUGUCCUGUACCUUGACAGUUCAUCAGCGCUUCAGCACCGCUUGUCCAGUUCACCUCGCCUUUACUGUGCCAUCUUUGUACCUGACCCUGCCCUGCCUGUCCACACCCACUCCACAUAUCCCAGGACGCUAACCUGGCCACAGAAUACCCCAGUCCGGUGGGUACAUACUACAGGCCGUCUCCAUGAUGAUUCAAAGGUGGAGCGUUCUUUGCGUACACUGAAAGAUAAAAAUAAAAAGCUUGAAGAGGGAGGACCGGUGUACAGUCCGACAGUGGAUGCAGAACCCGUGCGACGGACAAUACGUCAACGCGUGGUUGACGAAGUGAAGCACUACUAUCACGGGUUCCGCUUAUUGUGGAUAGACACGACCAUCGCUGUGCGGAUGCUCUGGAGGGUGCUGAACGGACACAUUCUGUCACGCCGAGAGAGGAGACAGUUCCUGAGGACGUGUGCAGAUGUCUUCCGGCUUGUGCCCUUUUUGGUCUUCAUCAUCGUUCCAUUUAUGGAGUUUCUGCUUCCUAUUGCAGUGAAGCUUUUCCCAAACAUGCUGCCGUCCACCUUUGAGACACAGUCCAAAAAGGAGGAAAGGCUGAAAAAGGAGCUGAGAGUGAAAUUAGAGAUGGCCAAGUUCUUGCAGGACACAAUUGAAGAGAUUGCACUAAGAAACAAAGCAGCUAAAGGCAACGUGACCGAGGAGUUCUCCACUUUCUUUCAGAAGAUUCGCGACUCGGGAGAGAGACCCAGUAAUGAGCAGAUCAUACGUUUCUCUAAGUUGUUUGAGGAUGAACUGACCUUAGAUAAUCUGACACGGCCGCAACUGGUGGCCCUGUGCAAGCUGCUGGAGCUGCAGUCCAUUGGCACCAACAAUUUCUUGCGCUUCCAGCUCAUCAUGAAACUCAGAGCCAUCCGUGCAGACGACAAGCUGAUAGCAGAGGAGGGAGUGGACAGUCUGAAUGUGAACGAGCUGCAGGCAGCAUGUCGUGUGAGAGGGAUGAGAGCUCUGGGAGUGACGGAGGAGAGACUGAGAGAGCAGCUUAAACAGUGGUUAGAGCUUCACCUCAAUCAACACAUCCCCACAUCUCUGCUGCUGCUGUCCCGAGCCAUGUUCCUGCCAGACACACUGUCCCCUGCAGACCAGCUUAAAACCACACUACAGAACCUGCCAGAGAUCAUGGCUAAAGAAGCGCAGAUGAAGGUGGCAGAGCUGGACUUCUCUAAAGUGGAUAACAAGACCAAGCUGGAGGCCACGCUACAGGAAGAGGCAGCCAUCCGAGAGGAAAAUAGAGAGCGGGAGCUGGAGAGACUGGCUGAUGCUGCAGAGAAAGCGAAGGAACUGGCCGCACAGGAGAGUGAGAUGGUGGCGUUCGAAGCAGAACGACGGGUGGAUGCAGAACAUGUCCUCUCCAAUGUAGAUGUGGCCAUCCAUUCAGAAACACUACGAGAUACUGCACCUGUGCUGGAGGGUAUUAAGGGGGAGGAAAUCACUAAGGAGGAGAUUGACAUGCUGAAUGAUGCCUGCACCAAACUGAAGGAGCAGAAGAAUCUCCUCACCAAAGAGAAAGAGGAGCUGGAGGACCUAAAGGAUGAUGUGCAGGAGUACAGCGAGGACUUGGAGGAGAUAAAGCGAGAGCUAUCCAAGACGGGACAGGAGAAAGUGGUGGAGGAGUCUAAGGCAAGUCAACGUCUGUCAAAGCGAGUCAACCGCAUGAUUGGCAGAAUGGAUAAGAUCAUCACUGAGCUGGAGAAGGACAAGGUAGUGCUAGACGGACAGAUGGACAGCAGCACCACACCACCGAUUGGAUUGUUCUUUGAGAAACAUAGUGACUUGCCAAGUGUGCUCUUGUCCUACAGGGAGAAUCUGAUAAGCAUCAACGAGCUCAUUACAGUCAUGAAGCAGAUCCAGAGCAUUCCUGAAGAGAAGCUGCUCAGAAUCGCAGACGCUCUCGACGAAAACAAAGAUGGCAAGAUAGACCUCGAUGAUGUCCUCAAGGUGGUAGAGCUGAUCGAUAAGGAGGACAUCGAUAUCUCCACCAACCAGGUGGCAGAGAUCAUGGUGAUGCUGCAGAAGGAGGAGAAGUUGGUGGAGAAGGAGAAAGCCAAGGAGAAGGUCGAGAAGGAGCAGGCAGCUAAACUCCAAAACUAGACUUGCCGUGUAGGGAAUAGAAAAGAUCCUGAAGCUUUUUGAGGUCAAUUAAUAUGUUAAUGAGAUUCCGAGUGAGGCUAAACCAAGGCUGACCUCCGCUCUGCAUUCAUAUAUAUAUAUAUGAACAAACUUUGCUUUGUUCAAAUUCGACUUUUGUGUAAUGAAUGAAUUGAGGAGAAAUGUAUUUAUUAGAAGGCAAAAGUAAUUCAGUAUGGAGUGCUGUACUGAAACCGUUGCUACGAAUUAAGUAUUAGUUCCCACAAUUUAUCAGUUUGUUCCCUUGUUUUAGGUAAAUCGUGUUGUACUAAUUUGCGACUUAUUGAUUCAUUCCCUCGCUUUAGUUAAAUUGUGGCCACAAAGUAGCACAACGUGGAAUGAAUUAAUAGGUUGUGGCUACAAUUUUUUUUAUUUUUUCCCUCAAAUGUCAUGUGCGGGGUGCCGUAAAUUCAGAAUAUUUGUUCAUUUGUUCUCGAAAAGGCCCUCUUAAAGGUGGAGUGGGUCAUUUCUGCGCCACUACUGGUACAAAACAAACUGUUUGUUUGAGCAGACUUGUUGGGCUGGACAUAAUGCCAUCAUCUCAACCAAUAGUGUGAGAUUGGGGUGGAUCAGUCAUUAUUUUUGUGGUGCAGAAAUUGCACACUUCAGCUAUAAGAUCCAACUAUAUUACCAUAAUUUUACACCAUUUCCUGAGAUCUAAGGUCAUUUCCUCUCUUUGCACAUUACACCACCUGUCCCCAUCAUUCCACUGCUCAUCCAGUUUGAUUUAGUUCUAUGUUUCUUUUCAGUUCACAAUCCAUUUUCAUGAGAUUCUUGAAUGUUGCUCAGAAGAUAUUAAUAUCACACUCAUGUUUAUUCAAUAACCAAAGAAGGUUUGUUAUGCUUCAUUUAUACUUGUACAUACACAUUCAAGCCACCAAGCACUGCAGCUUUGUCACACAGCAAAGGUCUGAAGUAGUAUUGAGAUGUGUAUCUUCAGCACUUGAGCUUUAUUCAGGGCAGAAGUUUUUGUACUGACUUGAAGAUGGUAGCAGAGUUAGUUUUUGAUGUGUUUUUUUUAUUCAGCUUUUAUCUUGGAUUUAUU
This is an RNA transcript of Megalobrama amblycephala (Wuchang bream), 3898 nucleotides long. It is a transcript of the gene named leucine zipper-EF-hand containing transmembrane protein 1, with no coding region annotated. Lineage: Eukaryota; Metazoa; Chordata; Actinopteri; Cypriniformes; Xenocyprididae. The transcript is spliced from 16 exons. The record is from RefSeq and is a predicted model, not a curated record.